Molecule: long non-coding RNA, 11158 nt
Filed under: Sorghum bicolor (sorghum)
Lineage: Eukaryota; Viridiplantae; Streptophyta; Magnoliopsida; Poales; Poaceae
Description: long non-coding RNA (SBIC_LNC004612)
Source: RNAcentral
CCAUGACACGCCAUCUGAUAUGGCCACAAAGCUUCAUUUAACAAUGUGUGUCAUCUUCUUGGAUUUUCUUCAACUUUCCAUUUAAUGAGCUUAAUGAUCCCUUUAUUAGUAGCCUCGGCCUGUCCAUUAGCUUUAGCAUAAUGUUGGGUAUUUUAAACGCAAACAGAAAAAUCCGCAAGCGCACGGAUACCGAUGUAGCUUUCACCUGGGAGUAUUCCAGAGUAUCGAUUUUCCACAGAGAACGUGAGUGUACUAAUUAAGAUCUAAGAUCGCCCAAGGAUAACUAUAUAAUUGUUUUUGGUGGGAAGAGAGGAAGUUUCCUGAGAGUUCUCUAGUUGAUCUAAGAAUCAAGAAUUACUUCAAGAUUAUCUAUAUCGGGACAUCAGAGCACUAACCACAGAAAGAGAUGAGAAGGGGGCUAGGAAGGUCUGACUACGGUCCUACAAACACCGAUCCGAACGUGGUGGAAUACGUCGACCGUUAGGGCCGUCACUACCCUAGGGCUACCACAACAAUCCGUGGGAUUGGGUGCAAUUCCAGGUAAUCGCAAGACUAAACACCACGUCUAAUCUAUUAAUUACUACCCUAGCAUUAUAAAGACUAGAGCACUUGAUGCAAGCGGGAAUCCAAUAAAUAACUUGAAUGUAAAUAAAAGUAAUUAGAGAACUCAGGAAUUAUGAGUUGAAGAACCUGGAGAACGAUGAAGAACGAACCAGAUGCUGCAAAAGUAUAAUGUUGAGGAAGAUCCGACAGAUCCGGCUCCUCCUCCGCUCUCCUCUUCUCUCUCCCUAUUUUCUAGAUUACAACUAGAACUAACUAGAACUAGAACUAGAGGAACUAGAACUAGAACUAGAUGAACUAGAACUAGAUAUAGAUGAACUAGAGGUAGAACUAGAAGAACUAGAGGGAUCCUCUCUACUUGGAUGAAGAAUUGAAACACUAACUUUGAUUCUAUAGAAGAGGUAUGAUCUCCAGGGGCCAGGGGGGUCUGGUUUUAUAGUCCCUUCAAAUGAAUCUGGGCCGUCGGAUCAAACCGACAUUGAUCCUGUGGUUUUCCUUGAAGUAUUAGGUCGGUGGAGCAUGAUCCCCGAGCUUCUCCCUGAUUGGUCCAGGGGGGAGGGCGGGCGCCCUCAGGACUAGGGCGGGCGCCCUGUCCCUGAGGCCUCUCGGCUUCCGCUUUGUUCCCGUGGCUUCUAGAGUCUUCUAGAUGAUAGAAAAUUGCGCGGCACGUUAAUAUCUCUAUGUAAACCCGACGUGUGGGCCUUUCUUCCUUAUUUCCUGAUAACCCCCUGCAGAAAUAGACAAACACCAAAACUCGUGGAAUUCUGUCAGAUAAAACCCUAAGUCUAGGUGUUGGUUGCAUUUGGAUCCUUUUCUAUGAUUAGUUGAUGGUUAAAUGUGAGCAUUAAGGACCGUCAACAAGCUCCCCCAAGCUUAACCUUUGCUCGUCCCUGAGCAAAGAUGAACUCAAGAGUUUCUGCAGUGGUUUCAUAACUUAAAGAUACACAUGCGUUUAAACAAGAUCUCAUCUCGGGUUAGAGUAAACUGUUAAGACUUAAAACUUACUCAUUUACCUUUCACCAUGGGACUUGUAACCAUCACUUCUGUCUUGAGUAGUUAAAAGAUAGAACGGUCUAGUCAAGCGCCAUGUCUCUUUUUCUUGAUCAACUAUAGCUCUAGAGUUUUUGCAGAUUUUCAAAUAAAACUCAGAGAUUCCUUGUAUGACUCUCUCUAGUCUCUCUUUUGUGGUAUUUCUGGAUCCUUACCAAGGCAGUAAUGGUGUAUGCCUUCUCUCAAAGUAUGUGGUAUUUUUGGUAUGAGGCAUAGUGGCAUUGCCUUCUCUCUCACCCUACUCUAAUAAGGUUUUGAUAUCUGGAGCUCAUAGGUGGGAGACAGCUAAUACAUACUUACAAGACAUUUAUUGCAUAGUCAAACCAUGGAUCCAGAAGAACAAGUCAAUAAGUCAAAUCAAGAUGUGCAUGUGUGGCGAAUGAAUGGUGUAUGGUAAUGAUGGUGAUAACAAUGGUGAAAGUCUAAUUCUACUUGUGCUCUUUUGAGAGGAUACAUACCUUUCUUGCUCUUUUGAAACUUUUUGAGGAGAAUGAGAUGCUCUAUAUUUUCUUUUCCUCUCACGUGGGUAUCUUGUACCCCUAAUUCUACUGUCGGACACUUGUCCAUUUUUACCUCUCGUCUCACUUUUUUUUCUUUUUUCUCUUUCGAGGUUCCGGGCACUUGCCCCUUUUUAUUUCCUCGUAUUUAUUUUAUAUUUUUUUUCUCUUCUCUUUUUUUUAGAGCACUCAUCUCUUAAAAUAAUGUAGCAAGUGGUAGUAACCAAGAUAACUCGAGCAUUUAUUUCAUAGGGGAAAAACAGAAAUAUUUUUGGCUAUUCUCUCCCGGAUUAGGAGUAGAAUAUUUUUGGGUGGUUCUGGAGAUGGAAAUGGAUGGAUAUAUGUGGAUGCGUACUUCCGAAGUAGAAGUAGCAUGUAUGAGUGAACGUGCAAGUGAAUCUUGAUUUAACCACAUGACAAGCUCCUAAGGGUCUACACAGCUUGACCAUACUCAAUGCUCAUAAGCAGUAAAGUAAAUGUGUGGUUCAUAGUCUAAUAAGCAUGUAUAUAUGGCUGUGGUAGGAAAUUAAACUCUCAUCAUACAGGAACUCAUCUUGUGUUAUUUUAAUGAUUUUCAAAGAUAAAAUUCUCCAGAAUUCUAGCAUCUCUAGGAACAGAUAAACAGCAGCUCAACCUUUCCAUAUCAUAUCCGUUAACGACUUAGACUUCAGAUCAAGUACUCUCCCCACAAGUUCAGGUUUAGAGCAAAUCUUAAUUAAUAACAGUCAUGCCUAAACUUAAGAGAGAUUUCAAUUUUUAGAACUAAACAUGGCAGAGCAACUAUUCAUCAUUUCUAUGUGAGAGCUUAUCAUGAGGGUUCAUAGCAAACUUUAUUUAUUUAAUUAUUUAGCAAACUAAGCAAAGAUAUAUAUAUAAGCACAAAAUCUUUAUUUGAGUUUUUAUGAUUAUGCAUCUUUUUAUUAUUUGAGUAAAAUAUAAACGUGAGUAGAAACACUUAGCUCGAUAAAUGGGGGUGCUCUCCCCCAAGCUGGAUUUUGACGUAAUUUCCUCUAAUGUAGCUAGCAGGUGACGGAGGUAUAUUUGAAUGUCGGCAGUACCCUGACAGCGAUUAGGAUGUCCUUCGUCUGCUAGUCUGCUAGUCUUCUUUGAUCCUUGAAUUCUGUGGAGCUCAAAUAGACAACAAAGCUUUGUGGAACUAGUUAAGUGUUAGCAUAAAUAUCUAGCCUUUAUCAUGUUGAGCUUCCUCUAAUAAAUAUUACUCUCUUUAGUAGGAUCAUAAAUUUAUUUUUAUAUUUUUAUAGGACAAGAAUAUAUUUAUUUCAUUUUUACGCCACCACAGUGAAUGUACUUAUGGGUUUUAUGUCAUGAGCAUACUCACAUGGGGCUAACUAUUUUUAAUAUUUUUACUUUCUUUUCAAGAUGAUAUGAACCUGAUUAACUAAGCAAACUAUUUUAAGUAAUUGAAAGGAAAAAGAUAACUACCAAGUUUACCUCUUGGCAAGGCGUUCGGUGUUUUUUUUAAGUCCUCCGAACGGGACUCUCUGUUUUCUCAGUCGUCCUGGGAUUCACUAGAUGGCGUAGUUGGUGGUUCCGGCGACGCCUGCUCUUCAUGUAUAACUAUCUUCUCUCUACACACCUGACUCGGUGCUACGGUCUCCUCAGGAUAGUUCUGUUCAAGUUGUAUGUCUUCAGACCUUACUACAUCUCCUUCGUAGUCUGCCCAUCCGUCCUUGAUAAUUUGCCUCCUCUGGUUGCGGUUGUGUCGUCUUCUUCUUGUCCUGACCUGCUUAGAGUCUUCAACUAUAUAGUUAGGGUCAGUAAAAUAGUGGCGUACCGUCUCAUAGGGCUAAUGCAUGUGGACUUCUCCGGUUCUAAUGUAGAUGAUUGCUUUAACGGUGCUGAGGAACGGUCUUUCAAGCAUGAUGGGUGGAUUGUAUUCGUCUUCUCCCAUGACAAUAACCUUAAAAUCAUCUGGAGCUGAAUGUAUGUCGGUUUUAGGGGCAUGGUUCCGUGCAGGAUCUGAUAAGUGACUGGCGGCCAUUAUGUUGACACCUGACCCGGUGUCGCAAAGCAUCUUCUCGAAGUUGUAUCCAUCAAUGGAGCACUGGAUGCUUGGCAUACUUGGGUCAUCCUUUUUGGUUAGGAACGGUGACUUAAGUCGACGAUCUUGACCUCCUUGAACUGCAGUGACCAUCUUUGCUGACUUGGUCCACAUUUGCUUGUUCCUGUUCCUCCUGUUGGUCCUCUUCCUUGGUUCAUGUCGGGAUUACUCUGAGAUUUGUGUAGUCUUAUUCUUGAAGGAAAAUGUCUCCUUCCUCCCUUUGAUGUAGAAACUGAUCUUGGCAGCACUAGCAUGGAUGACAGCUCCUGAUGUGUUCAGGAAUGGCCUCCCUAGGAUGGGUGCCCUCUCAUCAGUACCAGUCUCUAUCACCACGAAGUCUUCUGGGGCGUAUAAGGUACCAACUCGGACGCAGAGGUUCUUCAAAAUUCCCUUUGGGAAACUUAGCGUACGAUCUCCAAGCAUGCCGAUGGAGAUCGGGAUGAUGGUGCGUCCUGGAUCGUCUCUCUUGACCGGCAGAAGGUCAGUAAUUACUUCCACAACGGGGUUACUCUAGUAGUUACGUCCUCAAGCAUCUCAGAGCAAUGAUUGCCUGAGUGUCCAGUCUCUCUCGUGUGUUUGUGCUCAUAGAUCUAGGUUCUUCACUUGGUGGAGUCCGGGAGUUGUAAAACUCCUUCAUAUUUUGCUCGAAGUGUACCUGCUCAUAGAGACAAGGCAGAGAUCAAGUGCAUGGGCCCUGUUGGUGGAAAACACCAACAGAACCAAAAGUGUAUUUGUUCUCUCUAACCUUAAGCAUAGUGAGCAAGACAAAGUUGAUGGAUAAUAAGAUCAUGAGUAUAGCAUUUAAAACAUUUGUCAGAUCAUAUCACUCAACCUUAUGAAAAGAUAAUCUAUCUAAGUAAAUGUUUUUUUCUUUAUAUGACUAUCAUUUUCCAAAGAUUGAGUAUGCAACAUUUUAGCUCAUAUGAUUAAGAGUGUGGGAUCACAAAGGUGGAAGGACUAAACAUGUUGAAUCGAUUGGGUUAGUUAAUCUAGAGUUGUAAAUCAUACAUGUUUGUCUCUUUUAUUCAUGUGAACGCUAAAACCAAGGAGAAGCUUAGAGAAGUGAUAGUCAAGUACCUUAAGAUGUUACGUUACUUGAAGAGUGAUGGUACAGUAUCACCUUGUGGAAGCCUUCCUUUCUUAGCGGUUGUGCAUCGUGUUUGUGGCACCCUCCAUGGAUCAUCUCUUGUGAGCUAUGCCUUCCUUGUGUAAAUUGUUAACCUUCAUGCGUCUCUCUCUUUGUCUCCAAUGUGAGUUUAUCUCAGGACUUCCCAGGUCGAUAUUGAAAGUUUUCCUGCAGGGGUUAGUCCAACAAAAUAUCCAAUAUCUACUAUAGCAUACUAUCGGCUCAAAGAUCAACCUAGACACCAUGUCUAAUUUGAUUUAGGAGGGCAUUUUAACCUAAGCAUCAUGCUUAAUUUAAAGUCCCUUGGAAAUAAGAUCAUCAUUCCUAAACUAAGCACCAUGCUUAAUUAAGAGAUAAAUGAAACUACUCCAAACCUAGACAUAUACUAAAGCAAAUAAAGGUGGCAUGAGAGCAUUUAUAGAGAUCUACUCAAGUGGAGAUGAAGUAGUGUGAUUAGUAUUUAACAAAUUGAGCAUGUCUUAAAGGUAGGGACAACCAACAUAGCAACAUGACAAAGGAUGUUUUUAUGUAAAGUACUCCCCCAAGCUUGAAUUUUGCAAAAUUCAAGUUUGGAUGAAUUUAAUUCAAUGUUGUAUGAUGAUUGGUUGGACAUACCUUGUGCUUGUCAUUCAUCCGAUCUUCUUGCUCCAAUCCUGGAAAGGUUAGUAACAAGAAUACCCGAAGGAAUUUUUUUUACAAUUAUCCUUAUAUGCUCAAUACACAAGGUAAUGUUGCAAAUAAUUAAAAGCUCAUGUUACGAUCUGAUCAGUGCUUGUUUUAGGACACUAAGCUUGUCCUUGGGAAACCAUCAAUUUAUGUCAGUGAAGUGGUUUCCCCUCCAACGCUGACUUAUAUCAACGAGAUCUGCAAAAUUUAUUAUAGACAUAUGCAUCGACAACCGCCCUUUUAAAGUUUUUAUAAAUAGAAAGGAAGAGGGGGUUGGAGAUCUCGAAUGUGGUGAUGUUGGAAAAACCAAUGGAUUGUGAAGAUGUUGCAUAUAAGCAUGGAGUAAAUGAAGUGGCUAUGAAAUAAAUUCCAUGCUCAUUAAUGCUUAGAGUGAAAUCCAUAUGGUGUGGUGAAAAUGAUAAGGUGAGUGUGGUAAAAAAGGAAAAGAAAAAGGAUACACGGACGACUUGGUUCGAAACUAGCACAGCUAUCGUUCCCCGGCAACGGCGCCAGAGAGCUUGUUGGGUAUUUUAAACGCAAACAGAAAAAUCCGCAAGCGCACGGAUACCGAUGUAGCUUUCACCCGGGAUUAUUCCAGAGUAUCGAUUUUCCACAGAGAACGUGAGUGUACUAAUUAAGAUCUAAGAUCACCCAAGGAUAACUAUAUAAUUGUUUUUGGUGGGAAGAGAGGAAGUUUCCUGAGAGUUCUCUAGUUGAUCUAAGAAUCAAGAAUUACUUCAAGAUUAUCUAUAUCGGGACAUCAGAGCACUAACCACAGAAAGAGAUGAGAAGGGGGCUAGGAAGGUCUGACUACGGUCCUACAAACACCGAUCCGAACGUGGUGGAAUACGUCGACCGUUAGGGCUGUCACUACCCUAGGGCUACCACAACAAUCCGUGGGAUUGGGUGCAAUUCCAGGUAAUCGCAAGACUAAACACCACGUCUAAUCUAUUAAUUACUACCCUAGCGUUAUAAAGACUAGAGCACUUGAUGCAAGCGGGAAUCCAAUAAAUAACUUGAAUGUAAAUAAAAAGUAAUUAGAGAACUCAGGAAUUAUGAGUUGAAGAACCUGGAGAACGAUGAAGAACGAACCAGAUGCUGCAAAAGUAUAAUGUUGAGGAAGAUCCGACAGAUCCGGCUCCUCCUCCGCUCUCCUCUUCUCUCUCCCUAUUUUCUAGAUUACAACUAGAACUAACUAGAACUAGAACUAGAGGAACUAGAACUAGAACUAGAUGAACUAGAACUAGAUAUAGAUGAACUAGAGGUAGAACUAGAAGAACUAGAGGGAUCCUCUCUACUUGGAUGAAGAAUUGAAACCCUAACUUUGAUUCUAUAGAAGAGGUAUGAUCUCCAGGGGCCAGGGGGGUCUGGUUUUAUAGUCCCUUCAAAUGAAUCUGGGCCGUCGGAUCAAACCGACAUUGAUCGUGUGAUUUUCCUUGAAGUAUUAGGUCGGUGGAGCAUGAUCCCCGAGCUUCUCCGUGAUUGGUCCAGGGGGGAGGGCGGGCGCCCUCAGGACUAGGGCGGGCGCCCUGUCCCUGAGGCCUCUCGGCUUCCGCUUUGUUCCCGUGGCUUCUGGAGUCUUCUAGAUGAUAGAAAAUUGCGCGGCACGUUAAUGUCUCUAUGUAAACCCGACGUGUGGGCCUUUCUUCCUUAUUUCCUGAUAACCCCCUGCAGAAAUAGACAAACACCAAAACUCGUGGAAUUCUGUCAGAUAAAACCCUAAGUCUAGGUGUUGGUUGCAUUUGGAUCCUUUUCUAUGAUUAGUUGAUGGUUAAAUGUGAGCAUUAAGGACCGUCAACACAUAAUAAGGAGAAGAAUUUAAUACUUUAAUUCCCAUACCGAUCGCAAAUUCAUCAAAUUCCCCCGAUGUGAGCAUAGUACCCUGAUCAGUAGUAAUUGUCUGAGGAAUACUAAAUCGGUAAACAAUAUGCUCAUUUACAAAAUCAAUGAUAUUGGCUGAUGUUACUUUCUUCAAAGGAAUAGCUUCAACCCAUUUGGUGAAAUAAUCAGUGGCAACUAAGAUGAAUUUAUGCCCUUUGCUUGAUGGUGGAUAAAUAUGGCCAAUGAGAUCAAUAGCCCAUCCCCGGAACGACCAAGGUUUAAUUAUAGGAUUCAUGGCCGAUGCGGGUGCUCUUUGAAUAUUACCAAACUUCUAACAUCCUUGACACCCUUUAAAGUAUUUGAAGCAAUUCAAGUAAUAGUCGGCCAAUAAUAUCCAUUCCUCCUAAUCAUCCAUUUCAUCUUAAAAGCCGAUUGAUGUGCUCCACACACUCCAUCAUGGGUCUCACCCAUCAAGCUCCUAGCGUCAUCAUUACCCAAACGCUUGAGCAAAACUCCAUCUAUGGUUCGAUAAUAUAACUCUUCUUCAAGGAGUACAUACUUGGCAGCUUAAAACCUAACACGCCUCUCAACCUUCUUGGAUGGAUCUUUUAAAUAAUCAAUAAUUUCCUUUCUCCAAUCAUCGGCACUGAUUGCCGACAAUACACCCACGAGACGGGACCUGAUUGGUCUCUGUAGUAGGGCGGGCACCCAAGGGGUGAGGGCGAGCGCCCUGUCCCCGAGCCCGAUCGGCUUCCCGUUUGUUCCUGUGGCUUGUGGAGUCUUCUAGAUGAUAGAAAAUUACGCGGCACGUUAAUAUCUCUAUGUAAACCCGAUGUGUCCCCUGCAGAAAUAGACAAACACUAAAACUCGUGGAAUUCAGUCAGAUAAAACCCUAAGUCUGGGUGUUGGUUGCAUUUGGAUCCUUUUCUUUAAUUAUUUGAUGAUUAAAUUUGGUACUUAAGGACCGUCAACAACUUCCCCAAGCUUACCUCUUGCUCGUCCCUGAGCAAGGAUGGACUCAAGAGUUUCUGCAAUGGUUUCAUGCCUUAAAGGUACACAUGCGUUCAAACAAGAUCUCAUCUCUAGGUUAGGGUAAACUAUUAAGACUUAAAACUUACUCAUUUUACCUUUCACCAUGGGGCUUGUAACUGUCACUUGUAUCUUGAGCAGUUAAAAGAUAGAACAGUCUAGUCAAGCACCAUGUCUCUUAUUCUUGAUCAGCUAUAGCUUUGGAGUUUUUGCAGAUUUUCAAAAUAAAACUCAGAGAUUCCUUGUAUGACUCUCUCAAUUCUCUCUUUUGUGGUAUUUCUGGAUCCUUACCAAGGCAGUGAUGGUAUAUGCCUUCUCUCAAAGUAUGUAGUAUUUUUGGUAUGAGUCAUAGUGAUAUUGCCUUCUCUCUCAUCCUACUCUAAUAAGGUUUUGAUAUCUGGAGCUCAUAGGUGGGAGACAGCUAAUACAUACUUACAAGACAUUUAUUGCAUAGUCAAACCAUGGAUCUAGAGAAACAAGUCAAUAAGUCAAAUCAAGAUGUGCAUGUGUAGCGAAUGAAUGGUGUAUAGUGAUGAUGGUGAUAAUGGUGAAAACUAUGGUGAAAGUCUAAUUCGACUUUUGCUCUUUUGAGGGGAUACAUACCUUUCUUGCACUUUGAACCUUUUUGAGGGGAAUGAGAUGCUCUAUAUUUUUUUUUCUUUUCUCUCAGGUGGGUAUCUUGUACCCCUAAUUCUACUGUCGGACACUUGUCCAUUUUUACCUCUCGUCUCACUUUUUCUUUUCUUCGAGGUUUCGGGCACUUGCCCCUUUUUAUUUCCUCGUAUUCAUUUUUUUUCAGAGCACUCACCCUCCUGGAAUAAUGUAGCAAGUGGUAGUAACUAAAAUAUCUCGAGCAUUUAUUUCACGGGGAAUAACAUGGAUAGGAUAAUGUUUUUGGCUAUUCUCUCCUAGAUAGGAGUAGAAUAAUUUUGGGUAAAUCUGGAGAUGGAAAUGAGUGGAUGUAUGUGGAUGCGUACUUCCGGAGUAGAAGCAGCAUGUAUGAGUGAACGUGCAAGUGGAUCUUGAUUUUAACCACAUGACAAGCUCCUAAGGGUCUACACAGCUUGACCACACUCAAUGCUCAUAAGUAGUAUAAAGUACAUGUAUGGUUCAUAGUCUAAUAAGCAUGUAUAUAUGGCUGUGGUAGGAUUUUAAACUCUCAUCAUACAGGAACUCAUCAUGCAACAUUUUAAAGAUUUUUAAAGACAAAAUUCUCCAGAAUUCUAUCAUCUCUAGGAACAGAUAAACAACAGCUCAACCUUCCCAUAUCAUAUCCGUUAACAACUUAAACUUUAGAUCAAGUACUCUUCCCAUAAGUUUAGGUUUAGAGCAAAUCUUAAUUCAUAACAGUCAUGCCUAAACUUGAGAGAGAUUUCAAUUUUGAGAACUAGGCAGAGCAACUAUUCAUCAUUUCCAUGUGAGAGCUUAUCAUAAGGGUUCAUAGCAAACUUUAUUUAUUUAUUUAGCAAACUAAGCAAAGAUAUAUAAGCAUAAAAUCUUUAUUUGGGUUUUUUAUGACUAUGCAUCUUUUUAUUAUUUGAGUAAAGUAUAAAUGCGAGUAGAAACACUUAGCUGGAUAAAUGGGGGUGCUCUCCCCCAAGCUGGAUUUUGACAUAAUUUCUUCUGAUGUAGCUAGCAGGUGGCGGAGGUGUAUUUGAAUGUCGGCAGCACCCUGACAGCGAUUAGGACGUCCUCUGUCUGCUAGUCUUCUUUGAUCUUUGAAUUCUGUGGAGCUCAAAUAGACAACAAAGCUUUGUGGAACUGGUUAAGUGUUAGCAUAAAAUCUCUUAGCCAUUAUCAUGUUGAGCUUCCUCUAAUAAAUAUUACUCUCUUUGGUAGGAUCAUAAAUUUAUGUUUAUAUUUUCAUUUUUAUAGGACAAGAAUAUAUUUAUUUUUACGCCACCACAGUGAAUGUACUUAUAGGUUUUAUACCAUGAGCAUACUCACAUGGGGCUUACUGUUUUUAACAUUUUUAAUUUCUUUUCAAGAUAGCACGAUUAACUAACAAGCUAUUUAAGGAAAGUAAAUAAUUUAAGGAAAAGAGGAAUGCAUAAAGGAUAAAUAUGGAUAACUACUGAUUUUACCUUUCGGCGAGGGUUCAAUGUUUUAAGUCUUCUGAACAAGACUUCUCACCGUGUUCAUUCUUCAGGUGCGUCAUUUGAUUUAGGUGUGGACCUUGACGUCUGCAGCUCUUGAUACGGUGUCACCCAUGUUCUUCGUUUGCCCAGCAGUUCGAAAUGUGGCGUUAGCAGUAUCUUGCUCAGUGUGUUUGUGCUUGUAGAUCCAGGUCCUUCACUUGGUAGACUCUAGGAGUUGAAAAAUCCUCCAUGUUUCUCAAAAUGUGUC